Molecule: ribosomal RNA, 497 nt
Filed under: uncultured bacterium
Lineage: Bacteria
Description: partial 16S ribosomal RNA
Rfam family: Bacterial small subunit ribosomal RNA
Source: RNAcentral
GAUGAACGCUGGCGGCGUGCCUAAUACAUGCAAGUCGAGCGAACAGACGAGGAGCUUGCUCCUCUGACGUUAGCGGCGGACGGGUGAGUAACACGUGGAUAACCUACCUAUAAGACUGGGAUAACUUCGGGAAACCGGAGCUAAUACCGGAUAACAUGUUGAACCGCAUGGUUCAACAGUGAAAGACGGUCUUGCUGUCACUUAUAGAUGGAUCCGCGCCGCAUUAGCUAGUUGGUAAGGUAACGGCUUACCAAGGCAACGAUGCGUAACCGACCUGAGAGGGUGAUCGGCCACACUGGAACUGAGACACGGUCCAGACUCCUACGGGAGGCAGCAGUAGGGAAUCUUCCGCAAUGGGCGAAAGCCUGACGGAGCAACGCCGCGUGAGCGAAGAAGGUCUUCGGAUCGUAAAACUCUGUUAUUAGGGAAGAACAAAUGUGUAAGUAACUAUGCACGUCUUGACGGUACCUAAUCAGAAAGCCACGGCUAACUACGUG